Molecule: ribosomal RNA, 336 nt
Filed under: Triticum aestivum (bread wheat)
Lineage: Eukaryota; Viridiplantae; Streptophyta; Magnoliopsida; Poales; Poaceae
Description: partial small subunit ribosomal RNA
Source: RNAcentral
AUGGCUAAAGCCUUGGCCCUCAAAUUUGGUAUAACACUGGUGCAAAGGGCAGGAUGUAAUCGCCUUAUUAUUAACUUGGAUAACCUGGAGGUGAUUGAUACCAUGAAGGAUGGAGGACGGUUGAUGGGUGCGGCGGCGGCCAUAUUCGAUGAUUGUUAUCAUUAUGCUUGUGAUUUCAUAAUUACUAGAUUCGAACACUAUAAUAGAGAAGCAAUAAAAUUGUAUGAGCUCGCUAGAUUAGCUAGGUUUUCUUUGAUUUCUGAUUGGUUUGAGGAAUCUUUAAAUGAAAUUGUAAUGAUCCUCACAAAUGAUGUAUCGGUUAUUUCUAAUGAAUAA